AUUAAUUCCCACCAACUUCGUCACUGUUCUCUUCACCAUCCCCGGCUACCAUAUAUCCGGUGAACAACAAAGAAGCCAAUAUCUUUAGCUUCGUAACAUUACCGACUGCAUAAACCCUUAAUUCUUGCAAAUUUCACCGUCGUUGUCAUCACAAUCUCCACCUAUCAUCGAUGUCUUCAGAUGUGGAGCUAUUACAAUUUCAUAGCAUUUUGACAAGGUAAGAUUUAUGGGUGUUUUAACAAAUUAUUUACGGGUUUUUUUCACACUCACUGUACACAUUUUGAAAAGGUAAGAUUUUUGGGUUUUGAAGCAAAUUAGGACUUGAUGUUUUGUUGAAGAUAUGGGAUAUGUAUGAGAUUGUUGAAAAGUUGUGAAAUGGGCUUAGUUUGUACUUUGGUAAAAGUAUAAUGUAAUGCCUAUUUCAUAAAAUUGAGCAGGAAUGGCAAUCAUAACGCACUCUCACAAUUAACUUAAAUUACAAUAUUUGGGAAAAGCAGACCCAACUUUGCACAUCUUUUAAUCAAGAGAGUAUGACAAUUAGCAUGCUUUUUCUCAACAGAGGUUGCGUGUUCCUUGCUAUUUAAAAACUACCGUGUUUGGUCAUCCCGGAGUUGGGCAUCACCAUCUUCACAGUUGCGGGUCAAUAUGCUGGGGUUUUCGCGGUAGUAACAAUUGCGACUUCAGAUUCGUGAGGUAGUCGGGGGAAAUGUACAAGAUGAUUUCAGAUCAGGAAGUGAAGGGAUUCGGUGGGGGCGAGUGAAAUCUCAGAAGGGGUGGAUUCGGUGGGGGUAGGAUGAAAUCUUAGUAGUGGUGGGAAAUGAACUAAUGUGGUAUGUUAAUCCAAACAUUUGGUCUCUUUCUUCUUUUCGAUUUUUUGACCAAAUUGGUCAAUCACCAAAAACUCAUUGUACACAUCAAUUUUUAAAUUUCUGUAUGGGUUCUAUCAGCCGUCUUCUAUACAAGAGGCUUUAGUGUAGAGCAAUGCAACUAUGUGUACAGAAGACGGUUGACAGAAGAAUUCCAGAUGAGCUAUCAAUCGUUUUUAGUGAAAAAAAAAAACUAACCAUUUUUUGAACGAGCAAAUGUCAAAUUUUUUUUAUUCCAACCAAAUCCCACUUUCUUCUCGCUGAACCCACAUCGUGAAUCAUUAAUUCCUAUGAACUCCUUCAGGUUUUCUUCGCCAUCUCUACCUGCUAUCUAUCCUUUGAACAAUAAAGAAGUCAAUAUCUCUAUCUUUGUAAUAUUACUAACUGCAUAAACCCUUUAUUCCUACUAAUUUUGCCGUCGCUAUCAUCAUAAUCUCUGGCUGUCGGCGAUGUCUCAAACGUGGAACUAUCACCGAUUUCAUAGCAUUUUAAAAUGGUAAGAUUUGAAGGUGUUUCAAAAAAUUAUUUAUGGGUUUUUUCACACUCACUGUACACUUUAAGAUUUUUGGGUUUUUGAACAAAUUAGGACUUGAUGUUUUGUUGAAGAUAUGGGAUAUGUAUGAGAUUGUUGAGAAGUUGUGAAAUGGACAUAGUUUGUAUUUUGGUAAAAGUAUAAUGCAGUGCCUAUUUCAUAAAAUUGAGCAGGAAUGGCAAUCAAAGUGCACUAUCACAAUUAACUUAAGUUACAAUAUUUGGGAAAAGUCUACCAAACUUUGUACAUCUUUUAAUCAAGAAAGUAUGACAAUUAGCAUGCUUUUUCUCAAUAGAGGUCCUUGGGUUCCUUGUUAUUUGAAGACUACAUUUUUGGCCAUCAUCGGAGUUGGACAUCACCAUCUUCACAGUCGGGGUGUGAUGUUGUUGCGGGUAAGUAUGUUGGGGUUUUCAUCAUAGCCGACAGUUGUGACUUUAGAUUUGGGAGGUAGUCGAUGGAAAUGUAUAAGAUGACUUCAGAUCCAAAAGUGGAGGAUUCGGCAGGGGCGGGUGAAAUCUUUGUAGUGGGGGUAAUGAACUAAUGUGAUAUGUUAAUCCAAACAUUUGGUCUCUUUCCUUUUUUAGAUUUUUUGACCAAAUUGGUCAAUCACCAAAAACUCACUCUACGUAUCAAUUUUUAAAUUUUUGUAUGGGUUCUAUCAGCCGUCUUCUAUACAAGAGGCAUUAGUGCAAUGCAAUGUUGUACCAUGUAUAGAAGACUGUUGACAGAAGAAUACAGAUGAGCUAUCAAGCGUUUUUAGCCACAAAAAAAAAAAAAAAAACCCAUCAAUUUUUUGAAUGAAACACGUCAUUUUUUUUAUUCCAACCGAAAGCCUAUCCCACUUUCCCCUCGUCGAACCUACAUCGUGAACCAUUAAUUAUUGCCAACUUCGUAUUCGUUCUCUUUACCAUCUCCGGCUGCCAUCUAUCUGUUGAACGAAGAAGCCAAUAUCUUUAGCUUCGUAAUAUAACCGACUGCAAAAACCCUUUAUUCCUGCAAAUUUUGUCGUCGCUGUCGUCGAUGUCUUUAGAUGUGAAACUAUCAUCGAUUUCAUAGCAUUUUGACAAGGUAAGAUUUGUGGGUAUUUUAACAUAUUAUUUAUCGAUUUUUUUACACUCACUGUACACAUUUUGAAAAUGUAAG
RNAcentral lists this long non-coding RNA (2541 nucleotides) under Olea europaea subsp. europaea. The record is from RNAcentral. Lineage: Eukaryota; Viridiplantae; Streptophyta; Magnoliopsida; Lamiales; Oleaceae.